RNAcentral lists this ribosomal RNA (2920 nucleotides) under Bacillus cereus. RNAcentral's name for it is "bacterial LSU rRNA". It matches the Rfam family "Bacterial large subunit ribosomal RNA". The record is from RNAcentral. Lineage: Bacteria; Bacillati; Bacillota; Bacilli; Caryophanales; Bacillaceae.
UUAAGUUAGAAAGGGCGCACGGUGGAUGCCUUGACACUAGGAGUCGAUGAAGGACGGGACUAACGCCGAUAUGCUUCGGGGAGCUGUAAGUAAGCUUUGAUCCGAAGAUUUCCGAAUGGGGAAACCCACCAUACGUAAUGGUAUGGUAUCCUUAUCUGAAUACAUAGGGUAAGGAAGACAGACCCAGGGAACUGAAACAUCUAAGUACCUGGAGGAAGAGAAAGCAAAUGCGAUUUCCUGAGUAGCGGCGAGCGAAACGGAACAUAGCCCAAACCAAGAGGCUUGCCUCUUGGGGUUGUAGGACAUUCUAUACGGAGUUACAAAGGAACGAGGUAGACGAAGCGACCUGGAAAGGUCCGUCGUAGAGGGUAACAACCCCGUAGUCGAAACUUCGUUCUCUCUUGAAUGUAUCCUGAGUACGGCGGAACACGUGAAAUUCCGUCGGAAUCUGGGAGGACCAUCUCCCAAGGCUAAAUACUCCCUAGUGAUCGAUAGUGAACCAGUACCGUGAGGGAAAGGUGAAAAGCACCCCGGAAGGGGAGUGAAAGAGAUCCUGAAACCGUGUGCCUACAAAUAGUCAGAGCCCGUUAACGGGUGAUGGCGUGCCUUUUGUAGAAUGAACCGGCGAGUUACGAUCCCGUGCGAGGUUAAGCUGAAGAGGCGGAGCCGCAGCGAAAGCGAGUCUGAAUAGGGCGUUUAGUACGUGGUCGUAGACCCGAAACCAGGUGAUCUACCCAUGUCCAGGGUGAAGUUCAGGUAACACUGAAUGGAGGCCCGAACCCACGCACGUUGAAAAGUGCGGGGAUGAGGUGUGGGUAGCGGAGAAAUUCCAAUCGAACCUGGAGAUAGCUGGUUCUCCCCGAAAUAGCUUUAGGGCUAGCCUUAAGUGUAAGAGUCUUGGAGGUAGAGCACUGAUUGGACUAGGGGUCCUCAUCGGAUUACCGAAUUCAGUCAAACUCCGAAUGCCAAUGACUUAUCCUUAGGAGUCAGACUGCGAGUGAUAAGAUCCGUAGUCAAAAGGGAAACAGCCCAGACCGCCAGCUAAGGUCCCAAAGUGUGUAUUAAGUGGAAAAGGAUGUGGAGUUGCUUAGACAACUAGGAUGUUGGCUUAGAAGCAGCCACCAUUUAAAGAGUGCGUAAUAGCUCACUAGUCGAGUGACUCUGCGCCGAAAAUGUACCGGGGCUAAAUACACCACCGAAGCUGCGGAUUGAUACCGAAUGGUAUCAGUGGUAGGGGAGCGUUCUAAGGACAGUGAAGUCAGACCGGAAGGACUGGUGGAGUGCUUAGAAGUGAGAAUGCCGGUAUGAGUAGCGAAAGACGGGUGAGAAUCCCGUCCACCGAAUGCCUAAGGUUUCCUGAGGAAGGCUCGUCCGCUCAGGGUUAGUCAGGACCUAAGCCGAGGCCGACAGGCGUAGGCGAUGGACAACAGGUUGAUAUUCCUGUACCACCUCUUUAUCGUUUGAGCAAUGGAGGGACGCAGAAGGAUAGAAGAAGCGUGCGAUUGGUUGUGCACGUCCAAGCAGUUAGGCUGAUAAGUAGGCAAAUCCGCUUAUCGUAAAGGCUGAGCUGUGAUGGGGAAGCUCCUUAUGGAGCGAAGUCUUUGAUUCCCCGCUGCCAAGAAAAGCUUCUAGCGAGAUAAAAGGUGCCUGUACCGCAAACCGACACAGGUAGGCGAGGAGAGAAUCCUAAGGUGUGCGAGAGAACUCUGGUUAAGGAACUCGGCAAAAUGACCCCGUAACUUCGGGAGAAGGGGUGCUUUCUUAACGGAAAGCCGCAGUGAAUAGGCCCAAGCGACUGUUUAGCAAAAACACAGCUCUCUGCGAAGCCGUAAGGCGAAGUAUAGGGGGUGACACCUGCCCGGUGCUGGAAGGUUAAGGAGAGGGGUUAGCGUAAGCGAAGCUCUGAACUGAAGCCCCAGUAAACGGCGGCCGUAACUAUAACGGUCCUAAGGUAGCGAAAUUCCUUGUCGGGUAAGUUCCGACCCGCACGAAAGGUGUAACGAUUUGGGCACUGUCUCAACCAGAGACUCGGUGAAAUUAUAGUACCUGUGAAGAUGCAGGUUACCCGCGACAGGACGGAAAGACCCCGUGGAGCUUUACUGUAGCCUGAUAUUGAAUUUUGGUACAGUUUGUACAGGAUAGGCGGGAGCCAUUGAAACCGGAGCGCUAGCUUCGGUGGAGGCGCUGGUGGGAUACCGCCCUGACUGUAUUGAAAUUCUAACCUACGGGUCUUAUCGACCCGGGAGACAGUGUCAGGUGGGCAGUUUGACUGGGGCGGUCGCCUCCUAAAGUGUAACGGAGGCGCCCAAAGGUUCCCUCAGAAUGGUUGGAAAUCAUUCGUAGAGUGCAAAGGCAUAAGGGAGCUUGACUGCGAGACCUACAAGUCGAGCAGGGACGAAAGUCGGGCUUAGUGAUCCGGUGGUUCCGCAUGGAAGGGCCAUCGCUCAACGGAUAAAAGCUACCCCGGGGAUAACAGGCUUAUCUCCCCAAGAGUCCACAUCGACGGGGAGGUUUGGCACCUCGAUGUCGGCUCAUCGCAUCCUGGGGCUGUAGUCGGUCCCAAGGGUUGGGCUGUUCGCCCAUUAAAGCGGUACGCGAGCUGGGUUCAGAACGUCGUGAGACAGUUCGGUCCCUAUCCGUCGUGGGCGUAGGAAAUUUGAGAGGAGCUGUCCUUAGUACGAGAGGACCGGGAUGGACGCACCGCUGGUGUACCAGUUGUUCUGCCAAGGGCAUAGCUGGGUAGCUAUGUGCGGAAGGGAUAAGUGCUGAAAGCAUCUAAGCAUGAAGCCCCCCUCAAGAUGAGAUUUCCCAUAGCGUAAGCUAGUAAGAUCCCUGAAAGAUGAUCAGGUUGAUAGGUUCGAGGUGGAAGCAUGGUGACAUGUGGAGCUGACGAAUACUAAUAGAUCGAGGACUUAACCAU